This is a long non-coding RNA of Epinephelus moara (kelp grouper), 2071 nucleotides long. RefSeq lists it as uncharacterized. The transcript is spliced from 2 exons. The record is from RefSeq and is a predicted model, not a curated record. NCBI's taxonomy places the organism in Eukaryota, Metazoa, Chordata, Actinopteri, Perciformes, Serranidae.
UUGGGGGAAAAAUGUCCCUUUAAUACUACGUGAAGUACAAACACAAAUAUACCACACUAACAAACCAGAUAAACUGUUUUAUUUAAAUAGAAUACAAUAGUUGAGGAUCCAAAGUAUGCAUAACCACCUCUGACUAAACAAGAUGUGUUUUUGUUUUCCAUGUAACAUUUAAAUGUGUUCUGCUUCAGUGAAAACAUUUGAAAUAAUCAUCAUCCCCUAUAGACUACUUGUGCAAACAUUACAAGCUGGCACUUCACAUGUGCUGCUCAUGUGUGUGCUAAAUCAGGAGAGUUUGCGCUGCUGGAAUUGAAAUCGCAUGUUUGUACAUCUGUGCAGUGGAAAUUAGAGAAAGACGGCUUUUAUAUAAAUGCUGCAAUAGUCAGUCAGAAUUAAAGUCACUUUAGUUAAUGCCUUGUUGUGAGGAAGGACUCUGUUAAAAGCUCAUUCGGGUGGAGUUGUCAAAGAAUGUGGUAAGCCUAUAAGAGGCCAUUAAGUAAACUCAGCAGUCAGCUGUUUGGAGUGUGGUGGUGGUUUGUUGUGUGGGCCUUUAUCGCCAUCUGCUGGCGAAUACUGGGCACAGCAGUUUAAUAGAACCCUUCUGUAAAUCUCCCAAAUGUGUUAAUAAAACAGUUUUAUGAACUCAAGACCAUAAAACCAUAAGAUCUGUGUAUAACUGGACUUUAAUGGCAUGCUUUAAACUCUAUAUAAAUGUACACUUGUGGGUAAUAUGAUCCCUCUGCUUUGUUGAGGUCACAUGCCUCCAACUUCUGCACGUGUGGGAUAGUUGCCAAGUACCACCAAGAGUCACUCCCACCCUGACCCAACAAUUCUGCUUACACAGCAAAUUUUCAAGUCAGCAUGCUUAAAUAUAGACAUUCACAGUCAUAUUUUUAUGUUUAAACUUUAACAAGAACACACACACACUCCAAAAGUGACUCCGCCAUCUUUAUUCAACUCUCAGUUUCUAUGUUUGACAGCCUUAACACAAUACAACUCUCUGUAAAAGCAUCAGGUUUUCAGGGUGACUGUUAUCUUCCCGCAGAAACCAUCAUUAAUUACAGAGUGUAUUCCAACAGUCGUUACUGCUUCACAAUCGUUUUCCCUCUUCCCUUUUCCAAACUGUAGAGUCAUGUAUUUUUUUUUUUUUCUUUAAGCAAGCCGUGUAUAAAUUUGUGCGAUUUUGCAACCUACAUAGAAAAUCUAGAAAAUGUUAAGAAAACAUACACAGGAAAUACCGUGUACUUAGCAUUUAAAAUGCUACUCCUGAUAGGUGUUUUAGCUUGCAGACUUUCAAAGUGCUGCGUGAAACUCUGGAGAAACAUAGAGGAUCGUUGAGUCUCAUUCCCAGAGUUACAUACAGCACUUUUAAGGACAAACAUAAAAAAAGACAUUCAUGUUAGUUACUGCUGUUAUAUGUGCCCAAGAACAAUCAAUCAAUAGCUUGUGUUACAGACAAAAACAUCACUGGUAUAAACUUUUUAAAGUCUGCUUUGAAAUGUUUUUUAGACUUAUUUUUUUCUCAGUAACAAGUCAAUGCUUUCAGGUUUUCCCAGUAAAACCGUCUUCAAGGAUUUCUGAUAAUAAUCAAAUGUAAUUUUUCCCAUAUUUGAAGAUCGUAUCUUUUUCUGUUCCCUCAAAUAUCCUUAAAUCCUGAACUUGUUUAAAGUGUUUAUCAUGUUCCUGAACUACCCUCUCCUCUGUCUCCUGCCGGAUUUCAUACAGACGCCACUAGAGCGUAGUUUCUGCGCCUGGAUUCAUUAAGGAUGGAGAUAGCAAAAUGGAGGAGGUCAUUUAUGAACAUGACAACCACAUACACUCCUGAGCAAGGGUGAGAGCAACCCACUGACAGACACGCAGAGACAGGUGAAACAUGGUGUAUGUUCUUCAAGGCACAAAUUAUUUGCAUAUCUUUUGCCAAAUGUAAUGAGUUAACAAGCUGCCAGUGCAUGCUUUGCUUGAUGUGUUUAUUGUGUCUUCAUCAGUGUGAUGUUGGACUCAUGUUCAUCUAUCCUACAUGCAUGCUGUCAGGAGUUGCUCUGCCCUCUCCCAGGGUAAUACUAGUUGGUAAAAA